Bufo bufo (common toad) is the source of this 149-nucleotide long non-coding RNA. RefSeq lists it as uncharacterized. NCBI's taxonomy places the organism in Eukaryota, Metazoa, Chordata, Amphibia, Anura, Bufonidae. The record is from RefSeq and is a predicted model, not a curated record. The transcript has 3 exons.
GGCUAUAGAAGACAUAAUAAACUGGAUCCAUUCAUGAUGGAUGCAUGCGGUCGUAUUAUUGUAACGGAAGCGUUUUUGCAGAUCCAUGACAGAUCGCGGAAAAAAUGCUAAUGUAAAAGUAGCGCUAUUCACCAUAUCCUUUUCUGUAU